AGGCUCCUCAGUCCAUGGGAUUUUCCAGAAUGGGGAAUAACCAUCUCUACUUUCCAAAGCCAAUGUGAGGCUUAAGUACCUGAAAUGUAUGAGUGAUCGGUAGUUGAGUUGAAGAACCCAGAUGAAAUUGUCUCUAUGCCCAGAUGUGAACUUGCCUAUGACAUAGCCUCCAUGAAGGAAUUCAGACAUCACUGUGGAACACAGCUCUCCUAUAGGACAGCCCUGCUGUCCUUCAUAUGGUCCUAGGAAUUGACUCACGGCGCUGGAGGCCCAUAGACUUCCCUCGGGACAGAUCCCAUCUUCUCUGCCACAUCCAGAGAAGCCUCCUCAUGAGGCUGUUAUUGACCUGCACAUCAGAACAAUGGUUCUGGGAUGCUGAAGCCCCUAGUGCCCACUCGGGAAACCAAAUCACUUGAAAUUAACAAGUCAUUUGGAGUUAACAACAGCAACAACAAAUCAAUAGCUAACCUUUUGGAAUACUAACAGAUAGUCAUGUACGGAUGUGAGAGUUGGACCAUAAAGAAGGCUGAGCACCAAAGAAUUGAUGCUUUUGAACUGUGGUGUUGGAGAAGACUCUUGAGAGUCCCUUGGACUGCAAAGAGAUCAAAUCAGUCAAUCCUAAAGGAAAUCAACCCUGAAUAUUCACUGGAAGGAUUCAUGCUGAAUCUGAAGCUCCAAAACUUUGGCCACCUGAUGCGAAGAACUGACUCAUUGGAAAACACCUUGAUGCUGAGAAAUAUUGAAGACAGGAAGAGAAAGGGAUGACAGAGGAUGAUGAGAUGGUUGGAUGGCAUCACCAACUCAGUGGACAUGAGUUUGAG
This is a long non-coding RNA of Bos taurus (domestic cattle), 821 nucleotides long. Lineage: Eukaryota; Metazoa; Chordata; Mammalia; Artiodactyla; Bovidae. The record is from Ensembl.